This 253-nucleotide ribosomal RNA is filed under the name uncultured bacterium. RNAcentral's name for it is "partial 16S ribosomal RNA". It matches the Rfam family "Bacterial small subunit ribosomal RNA", at positions 524 to 777 of the family's 1533-position model. The record is from RNAcentral.
UACGGAGGGUGCAAGCGUUAUCCGGAUUCACUGGGUUUAAAGGGUGUGUAGGCGGACAGUUAAGUCAGCGGUGAAAUCUCCGGGCUCAACCCGGAAACUGCCAUUGAUACUAUCUGUCUUGAAUAUUGUUGAGGUGGGCGGAAUAUGUCAUGUAGCGGUGAAAUGCUUAGAUAUGACAUAGAACACCGAUGCGAAGGCAGCUCACUAAACAAUGAUUGACGCUGAGGCACGAAAGCGUGGGGAUCAAACAGGA